RNAcentral lists this ribosomal RNA (450 nucleotides) under uncultured bacterium. Its description in RNAcentral is "bacterial SSU rRNA". It matches the Rfam family "Bacterial small subunit ribosomal RNA", at positions 328 to 793 of the family's 1533-position model. The record is from RNAcentral.
UUGCCAGACUCCUACGGGAGGCAGCAGUGGGGAAUAUUGGGCAAUGGGCGCAAGCCUUACCCAGCAAUACCGCGUGAGUGAAGAAGGUCUUCGGAUUGUAAAGCUCUUUGAUCAGGGACGAACAGAUGACGGUACCUGAAGAACAAGCCCCGGCUAACUACGUGCCAGCAGCCGCGGUAAAACGUAGGGGGCGAGCGUUGUCCGGAAUGACUGGGCGUAAAGGGUGCGUAGACGGCGACGCAAGUCUGGAGUGAAAGCCUGGGGCCCAACCCCGGGACUGCUCUGGAAACUGCGUCGCUGGAGUACGGGAGGGGCAGGCGGAAUUCCUGGUGUAGCGGUGAAAUGCGUAGAUAUCAGGAGGAACACCGGCGGCGAAGGCGGCCUGCUGGACCGUGACUGACGUUGAGGCUCGAGAGCGUGGGGAGCAAACAGGAUUAGAUACCCGUGUAC